CCUACGGGUGGCUGCAGUGAGGAAUAUUGGUCAAUGGGCGCGAGCCUGAACCAGCCAAGUAGCGUGAAGGAUGACUGCCCUACGGGUUGUAAACUUCUUUUAUAAGGGAAUAAAGUGAGGCACGUGUGCCUUUUUGUAUGUACUUUAUGAAUAAGGAUCGGCUAACUCCGUGCCAGCAGCCGCGGUAAUACGGAGGAUCCGAGCGUUAUCCGGAUUUAUUGGGUUUAAAGGGAGCGUAGGUGGGUUGUUAAGUCAGUUGUGAAAGUUUGCGGCUCAACCGUAAAAUUGCAUGUGAUACUGGCAGGCUUGAGUGCAGUUGAGGUAGGCGGAAUUCGUGGUGUAGCGGCGAAAUGCUUAGAGAUCACGAAGAACUCCGAUUGCGAAGGCAGCUUACUAAACUGCCACUGACGUUGAGGCUCGAAAGUGUGGGUAUCAAACAGGAUUAGAUACCCUGGUAGUC
Molecule: ribosomal RNA, 460 nt
Filed under: uncultured bacterium
Lineage: Bacteria
Description: partial 16S ribosomal RNA
Rfam family: Bacterial small subunit ribosomal RNA
Source: RNAcentral